AGUAAAAGUCGUAACAAGGUCUCCGUUGGUGAACCAGCGGAGGGAUCAUUACAGAGUUAUACAACUCCCAUACCAUUUGUAAACUUUACUCAGUUAUGCCUCGGCGUCAGCUCAGUAAGGAGGCAGAGUGGUGUUACCCUGUAGCCUACCCUGUAGGUUACCCUGUAGCGCUACCCUGUACCAACUCCUGCUGCGGCCCGCCGGUGGUACACUAAACUCUUGUUUUAUUUUAUAUUCUGAGCGUAUUAUUUUAAUAAUUAAAACUUUCAACAACGGAUCUCUUGGUUCUGGCAUCGAUGAAGAACGCAGCGAAAUGCGAUAAGUAAUGUGAAUUCCAGAAUUCAGUGAAUCAUCGAAUCUUUGAACGCACAUUGCGCCCAUCAGUAUUCUGGUGGGCAUGCCUGUUCGAGCGUCAUUUCAACCCUUAAGCCUAGCUUAGUGUUGGGAAUCUACUGUAUUGUAGUUCCUUAAAGACAGUGGCGGAGCGAUAGUUGUCCUCUGAGCGUAGUAAAUUUAUUUCUCGCUUCUGUAAGGCUCUAUUCUCCCGCCAUAAAACCCCCAAUUUUUUAGUGGUUGACCUCGGAUCAGGUAGGAAUACCCGCUGAACUUAAGCAUAUCAAUAAGCGGAGGAAAAGAAACCAACAGGGAUUGCCCUAGUAACG
Molecule: ribosomal RNA, 662 nt
Filed under: uncultured fungus
Lineage: Eukaryota; Fungi
Description: eukaryotic LSU rRNA
Rfam family: 5.8S ribosomal RNA (bases 262-415)
Source: RNAcentral